This 76-nucleotide transfer RNA is filed under the name Atrichobrunettia graeca. Its description in RNAcentral is "tRNA-Ser". The stretch from base 4 to 68 matches the Rfam family "tRNA". From Rfam's summary of the family: Transfer RNA (tRNA) molecules are approximately 80 nucleotides in length. Their secondary structure includes four short double-helical elements and three loops (D, anti-codon, and T loops). Lineage: Eukaryota; Metazoa; Arthropoda; Insecta; Diptera; Psychodidae. The record is from RNAcentral.
NUUAACUAAUGAGCUUGUUUAAAGCAUAUGUUUUGAAAACAUAAGAAAGAAGUAAAUUCUAUUAGUUUAACAAAAU